GUGAGGAAUAUUGCGCAAUGGAGGCAACUCUGACGCAGCCAUGCCGCGUGCAGGAAGAAGGCGCUACGCGUUGUAAACUGCUUUUAACCGGGAAGAAACCCCAGGACGUGUCCUGGGUUGACGGUACCGGAGGAAUAAGCACCGGCUAACUUCGUGCCAGCAGCCGCGGUAAUACGAAGGGUGCAAGCGUUAUCCGGAUUCAUUGGGUUUAAAGGGUGCGUAGGCGGAGCGUUAAGUCAGUGGUGAAAUCCUGCAGCUUAACUGUAGACUUGCCAUUGAUACUGGCGAUCUUGAGUGCGCUUGAAGUGGGCGGAAUGUGCCGUGUAGCGGUGAAAUGCUUAGAUAUGGCACAGAACACCAAUUGCGAAGGCAGCUCACUAAGGCGAUACUGACGCUGAGGCACGAAAGCGUGGGGAUCGAACAGGAUUAGAUACCCCAGUAGUCC
This 445-nucleotide ribosomal RNA is filed under the name uncultured bacterium. RNAcentral's name for it is "partial 16S ribosomal RNA". It matches the Rfam family "Bacterial small subunit ribosomal RNA", at positions 354 to 796 of the family's 1533-position model. The record is from RNAcentral.